Non-coding RNA from Eptesicus fuscus (big brown bat), 129 nucleotides. RefSeq annotates it as small Cajal body-specific RNA 8. The transcript has a single exon. NCBI's taxonomy places the organism in Eukaryota, Metazoa, Chordata, Mammalia, Chiroptera, Vespertilionidae. The record is from RefSeq and is a predicted model, not a curated record.
GGGGAGGCUGCUGCACAAAUUGGGCUGAAGUACUGCUCUCAUUGUCCCUGUACCUCUCUAGAAUAAACUGCCUUUUGGUAAAAUAAAUCUCAUAGAGAUCAAGAUUCAACAUUCCCAGGGCUGGAAAAU